AACGAACGCUGGCGGCGCGCCUAAUACAUGCAAGUCGAACGAGAAGGUGUAGCAAUACACUUGUACAGUGGCGAACGGGUGAGGAAUGCAUGGGCAACCUACCCUCGAGUGGGGAACAACCAGCCGAAAGGUUGGCUAAUACCGCGUACGCUUCCGGGUCUCCGGAUCCGGAAGGAAAGUCACACCGUGGGUGUGACGCUCAAGGAUGGGCUCAUGUCCUAUCAGCNGUUGGUGAGGUAACGGCUCACCAAGGCAACGACGGGUAGCUGGUCUGAGAGGACGAUCAGCCACACUGGCACUGCGACACGGGGCCAGACUCCUACGGGAGGCAGCAGUAAGGAAUAUUGCGCAAUGGGCGAAAGCCUGACGCAGCGACGCCGCGUGGGGGAUGAAGGUCUUCGGAUUGUAAACCCCCUUUUAGGAGGGGAAAUGGGACGAGCAAUCGUCCGGAUGGUACCUCCAGAAAAGCCACGGCUAACUUCGU
Molecule: ribosomal RNA, 484 nt
Filed under: uncultured bacterium
Lineage: Bacteria
Description: bacterial SSU rRNA
Rfam family: Bacterial small subunit ribosomal RNA
Source: RNAcentral